This 21-nucleotide non-coding RNA is filed under the name Caenorhabditis elegans. The record is from RNAcentral. Lineage: Eukaryota; Metazoa; Nematoda; Chromadorea; Rhabditida; Rhabditidae.
UUCAUUCUUCAAAUGUCUUUA